UACGGAGGUGGCUAGCGUUGUUCGGAAUUACUGGGCGUAAAGCGCACGUAGGCGGACUUGAAAGUCAGAGGUGAAAUCCCAGGGCUCAACCUUGGAACUGCCUUUGAAACUUCUGGUCUUGAGGUCGAGAGAGGUGAGUGGAAUUCCGAGUGUAGAGGUGAAAUUCGUAGAUAUUCGGAGGAACACCAGUGGCGAAGGCGGCUCACUGGCUCGAUACUGACGCUGAUGCGCGAAAGCGUGGGGAGCAAACAGG
This 253-nucleotide ribosomal RNA is filed under the name uncultured bacterium. Its description in RNAcentral is "partial 16S ribosomal RNA". It matches the Rfam family "Bacterial small subunit ribosomal RNA", at positions 524 to 776 of the family's 1533-position model. The record is from RNAcentral.